ACCUAUGCUUCGGGUGAGAGAAACACGUAUCAGAAUUCAUCUUGUUUUAGACACCAUAAUUUUCUAUGUAAGGAAGAAAAAAUGGUUGUUCUUUAUUUUUGAUCCUAUGAUACAUGUCGCUCUCACCUGAAGCAUAGCUGC
Molecule: microRNA precursor, 141 nt
Filed under: Medicago truncatula (barrel medic)
Lineage: Eukaryota; Viridiplantae; Streptophyta; Magnoliopsida; Fabales; Fabaceae
Description: MIR4416 microRNA precursor family
Rfam family: MIR4416 microRNA precursor family
Source: Rfam by way of RNAcentral